RNAcentral lists this long non-coding RNA (1370 nucleotides) under Cucumis sativus (cucumber). RNAcentral describes it as "long non-coding RNA (CSAT_LNC001864)". The record is from RNAcentral. Lineage: Eukaryota; Viridiplantae; Streptophyta; Magnoliopsida; Cucurbitales; Cucurbitaceae.
AAAAAUUCAACAUUUUGUUCUAUAGUCCAGCUAACUCUUAGUAGGCUAAGUGGAAGCUCAUAGUGAUGAUACCAUGCCCACUAAAAGAAAAUGCAAUGGUGACUAAAUUCACUAAGUGUAAGUGAAAAGUGAGGUGUUGAAAUUGAGUAAACUAAUUAGAUGCAAUAGUGGCAUGUAAUUAUAUUUUUUAAGGAAAACUUUUUCAAAUUAUGAUAAACUUUUGGUUAUUUUCAAAAAUUAAAAUUCCUUUUGAAAGAGUUUCUUUAAAAAAAAAUAACCCAAAAUUUUCAUCAUUUGAAAAUCAUUAUUGACCUUUCAAUUUCAUCUCUCUUGAUUUCAUUAUCUAUCAGAUCCCACAACCCAAUUCUAGGUCCAGAGGAUAAUAGGUAACUAUUAGUGGUGGUCUGUUCGAGUUCAAGCGAAUAUUCAAGCAUCAAUCGAAGCUUCUAAUGUAAGUUUCCUCAAAACUCUAAUUUGAAUUAAUUUAGAGUUUAUUUUUAUUCAUGUUAAUCUUAGAAAUUAGGGUAAUUUUCUAGAUCCAAUUUUCUCUAUGCAUGUGUCAAUAUUAUCGGUUUUGUCUGAACUCAAUUUUUUUUCGUUGGAAAUUUGAAGAUUGCUCUUAUAUGACGUUCAAGAUUAUGUUUUGAAGUCUUGGCUAUUGGUGGUCUGAAGUUUCAAGAAGAAAUAUUUGUUAAGGUUCAAGAUUUCUCAAGAUUAUCCUAUGUUGUGUAUGAAAAUAAAAAUUAAUCAUAUUGUGUCAAGAGGGGGAGGUUUGUUACAUUUUUUACAAAUAUGUAUUUAGUUUCUUUUUAUUUGAAGAAAGAGAAUAUAAAAAAGAACUUUCAUAUAUUCUCCUUCUAAAAGGAUAUUUUUAAAAAGUGAGAUUCCUUGAUUCGUGAAAAAGAUACUAUUUUGCUGGUUAUAUAUUUCUUUAAACAGUUGUUGGUAAAGCUCUCUUUAAGCAACCAAUAUCAUUUUCAUUGUCCACAUCUAUCUUUCUCCUUAUUAUAAACAAAGAGUUUCUUUUCUGGUAAGUUCAUUACCUUUUUAGACCAAUGUGAUGGAUGCGAUAAAGAGAUUUAAAGAAGAUUAAGUAAGACACAUGACCAUGGUCAAUUACUUCAUGGAGAGCCUGUUUAUAUCUUCAUUAGAUUCGAAUAAAAUUUAGGGGCUAAUUAUUUUUAGUUUGCAUAAAAUAGCUAAAAAGAAUACUAGUUCUAGGGAGAAUGACUUUUAAAUUGUUGAAAGUAUUAUACUCGUUUGAAUCUUAAUAAAAUCUACUAUCUAAGCUAAAAGCUUUUGAGUUUUACCGAGCUGGGCUAACAAAUUUUAUGUGUUAUUUUUCUUAUUGUUUCCUUAGCACUAUUCCA